GAAAUGCGAUAAGUAAUGUGAAUUGCAGAAUUCAGUGAAUCAUCGAAUCUUUGAACGCACAUUGCGCCCGCUAGUAUUCUGGCGGGCAUGCCUGUUCGAGCGUCAUUUCAACCAUCAAGCCCUAGGCUUGUGUUGGGGGCCUGCAGCCGCUGCAGCCCACUAAAAGCAGUGGCGGGCUCGCUGUCAUUCCGAGCGCAGUAGUUACAUCUCGCUCUGGGCGUGGCAACGGGCACUUGCCGUAAAACACUCUUUCUAAGGUUGACCUCGGAUCAGGUAGGAAUACCCGCUGAACUUAAGC
Molecule: unclassified non-coding RNA, 298 nt
Filed under: plant metagenome
Description: partial contains 5.8S ribosomal RNA, internal transcribed spacer 2, and large subunit ribosomal RNA
Rfam family: 5.8S ribosomal RNA (bases 1-105)
Source: RNAcentral